RNAcentral lists this ribosomal RNA (561 nucleotides) under Colletotrichum gloeosporioides. Its description in RNAcentral is "eukaryotic LSU rRNA". The stretch from base 201 to 354 matches the Rfam family "5.8S ribosomal RNA". The record is from RNAcentral. Lineage: Eukaryota; Fungi; Ascomycota; Sordariomycetes; Glomerellales; Glomerellaceae.
CGUAGGUGAACCUGCGGAGGGAUCAUUACUGAGUUUACGCUCUACAACCCUUUGUGAACAUACCUACAACUGUUGCUUCGGCGGGUAGGGUCUCCGCGACCCUCCCGGCCUCCCGCCUCCGGGCGGGUCGGCGCCCGCCGGAGGAUAACCAAACUCUGAUUUAACGACGUUUCUUCUGAGUGGUACAAGCAAAUAAUCAAAACUUUUAACAACGGAUCUCUUGGUUCUGGCAUCGAUGAAGAACGCAGCGAAAUGCGAUAAGUAAUGUGAAUUGCAGAAUUCAGUGAAUCAUCGAAUCUUUGAACGCACAUUGCGCCCGCCAGCAUUCUCGCGGGCAUGCCUGUUCGAGCGUCAUUUCAACCCUCAAGCUCUGCUUGGUGUUGGGGCCCUACAGCCGAUGUAGGCCCUCAAAGGUAGUGGCGGACCCUCCCGGAGCCUCCUUUGCGUAGUAACUUUACGUCUCGCACUGGGAUCCGGAGGGACUCUUGCCGUAAAACCCCCCAGUUUUCCAAAGGUUGACCUCGGAUCAGGUAGGAAUACCCGCUGAACUUAAGCAUAUCA